This 447-nucleotide ribosomal RNA is filed under the name uncultured bacterium. Its description in RNAcentral is "bacterial SSU rRNA". It matches the Rfam family "Bacterial small subunit ribosomal RNA", at positions 355 to 825 of the family's 1533-position model. The record is from RNAcentral.
UUUCGAAUCAUCCACAAUGGGCGCAAGCCUGAUCCAGCCAUGCCGCGUGAGUGAUGAAGGCCUUAGGGUUGUAAUGCUCUUUUGGCGGGGACGAUAAUGACGGUACCCGCAGAAUAAGCCCCGGCUAACUUCGUGCCAGCAGCCGCGGUAAUAUGAAGGGGGCUAGCGUUGUUCGGAAUUACUGGGCGUAAAGCGCACGUAGGCGGAUCGGCAAGUCAGGGGUGAAAUCCCGGGGCUCAACCUCGGAACUGCCUCUGAUACUGCCAGUCUAGAGUCCGGAAGAGGUGGGUGGAAUUCCUAGUGUAGAGGUGAAAUUCGCAGAUAUUAGGAAGAACACCGGUGGCGAAGGCGGCCCACUGGUCCGGUACUGACGCUGAGGUGCGAAAGCGUGGGGAGCAAACGGGAUUAGAUACCCUCGUAGUCCCUGAGCGGGCUGGCAAGGCGCAU